UGACAUUGCUCGAUAGACCGACGGUCCC
This 28-nucleotide small RNA is filed under the name Bombyx mori (domestic silkworm). Its description in RNAcentral is "ovarian small RNA-31485". Lineage: Eukaryota; Metazoa; Arthropoda; Insecta; Lepidoptera; Bombycidae. The record is from RNAcentral.